RNAcentral lists this ribosomal RNA (493 nucleotides) under uncultured bacterium. RNAcentral describes it as "SSU rRNA". It matches the Rfam family "Bacterial small subunit ribosomal RNA", at positions 26 to 518 of the family's 1533-position model. The record is from RNAcentral.
AGAUUGAACGCUGGCGGCAUGCCUAACACAUGCAAGUCGAACGGAAGUAAGGGGCAACUCUUACUUUAGUGGCGGACGGGUGAGUAAUACGUAGGAAUCUACCUUCAAGUGGGGGAUAACCCGGGGAAACUCGGGCUAAUACCGCAUAAUCUCUAAGGAGCAAAGCAGGGGACCUUUCGGGGCCUUUCGCUUGAAGAUGAGCCUACGCCGGAUUAGCUAGUUGGUAGGGUAAAGGCCUACCAAGGCGACGAUCCGUAGCUGGUCUGAGAGGACGGCCAGCCACACUGGGACUGAGACACGGCCCAGACUCCUACGGGAGGCAGCAGUGGGGAAUAUUGGACAAUGGGGGAAACCCUGAUCCAGCAAUGCCGCGUGUGUGAAGAAGGCCUUCGGGUUGUAAAGCACUUUUAGUGGGGAAGAAAGCUCAAGCUAAUACCUUUGAGAAUUGACGGUACCAAAGAAAAGCACCGGCUAACUCUGUGCCAGCAGCCGC